GGCGGCGCGCCUAACACAUGCAAGUCGCACGAGAAACUCUGUAGCAAUACGGGGCGGUAAAGUGGCGAACGGGUGAGUAAUGCAUGGGUGACCUGUCCUCAAGAUGGGAAUAACCUCGCGAAAGCGGGGCUAAUACCCAAUGCCAUCUCGGUUCUACGGGAUCGGGAUGAAAGGUAGCUGUUACAGGCUGUCACUUGAGGAAGGGCCCAUGUCCCAUCAGCUAGUUGGUAGGGUAACGGCCUACCAAGGCUAUGACGGGUAGCUGGUCUGAGAGGACGACCAGCCACACUGGCACUGAGACACGGGCCAGACUCCUACGGGAGGCAGCAGUGAGGAAUCUUGCGCAAUGGACGAAAGUCUGACGCAGCGACGCCGCGUGGGGGAUGAAGGCCUUCGGGUCGUAAACCCCUUUUGGUGGGAAAGAAACGCCCCAAUGUUAAUAGCGCUGGGGUUUGACGGUACCCACAGAAAAAGCCACGGCUAACUCUGUGCCA
RNAcentral lists this ribosomal RNA (494 nucleotides) under uncultured bacterium. Its description in RNAcentral is "bacterial SSU rRNA". It matches the Rfam family "Bacterial small subunit ribosomal RNA", at positions 38 to 510 of the family's 1533-position model. The record is from RNAcentral.